ACUGAUGAUGAUGAUGAUACUACUGAUGAUGCUGAUACUACUGAUGAUGAUGCUGAUGAUGAUGCUGAUGAUGUUUCCAGGAACUCUCUUCACUCCCAACUUUGCGAACAACGCCAGCACCCAGCUGUCUCCGCCUUGCCGCUGUGCACGGAGCGCCAACUUAGUCCCAGAAUGUGAAGAGCUGAGAAGAACGUUCACUGAGAACACGUGCCUGGAAGCCUCCAUCCUGUCCUUGACCAAUGGCGUGCCAGCGUCGGGACCCCGCCCACCAACGCCGACCAAUCAGGCGGCGCCUCCAGCGACUGGGGGCGGGGCGAAGGGGAGCUCGGCCAAUGAGGAGAGGGGCGAUCGCGAUAAUUCGUCAUCAAAGUUGCUGUCUAUGACGUCUCCUGGCAUCGUGCUGCUGCUGAUGAUGAUUUUGACGAUAAUUUGAUUUGAUUUUAAUAGUUGGGAAUUAUCAAUGCCACCUUAGCACACUCAGUCACCCACUCACUCAACCACUCACCCACCUACUCAGUCACUCACCCACUCAACCACUCACUCACCCAC
Molecule: non-coding RNA, 549 nt
Organism: Petromyzon marinus (sea lamprey)
Lineage: Eukaryota; Metazoa; Chordata; Hyperoartia; Petromyzontiformes; Petromyzontidae
Source: RefSeq, a predicted model, not a curated record